RNAcentral lists this unclassified non-coding RNA (240 nucleotides) under Acremoniopsis suttonii. RNAcentral's name for it is "partial internal transcribed spacer region". The stretch from base 1 to 46 matches the Rfam family "Eukaryotic small subunit ribosomal RNA", at positions 1786 to 1831 of the family's 1831-position model. Lineage: Eukaryota; Fungi; Ascomycota; Sordariomycetes; Hypocreales; Nectriaceae. RNAcentral also lists the same sequence under 1 other name. The record is from RNAcentral.
AAGUCGUAACAAGGUCUCCGUUGGUGAACCAGCGGAGGGAUCAUUAUCGAGUGUUACAACUCCCAAACCCUUUGUGAACCUUACCUACUGUUGCUUCGGCGGGACUGCCCCGGCGCCUCUGCGCGUCGGAACCAGGCGCCCGCCGGGGGACCGAAACUCUUGAUUGUCUUAGUGGUAUUCUCUCUGAGUGGCACAAGCAAAAUAAAAUUAAAACUUUCAACAACGGAUCUCUUGGUUCUG